GACGAACGCUGGCGGCGUGCCUAAUACAUGCAAGUUGAGCGCUGAAGGUUGGUACUUGUACCAACUGGAUGAGCAGCGAACGGGUGAGUAACGCGUGGGGAAUCUGCCUUUGAGCGGGGGACAACAUUUGGAAACGAAUGCUAAUACCGCAUAAAAACUUUAAACACAAGUUUUAAGUUUGAAAGAUGCAAUUGCAUCACUCAAAGAUGAUCCCGCGUUGUAUUAGCUAGUUGGUGAGGUAAAGGCUCACCAAGGCGAUGAUACAUAGCCGACCUGAGAGGGUGAUCGGCCACAUUGGGACUGGGACACGGCCCAAACUCCUUCGGGAGGCAGCAGGAGGGAAUCUUCGGCAAUGGACGAAAGUCUGACCGAGCAACGCCGCGUGAGUGAAGAAGGGUUUCGGAUCGUAAAACUCUGUUGGUAGGGAAGAACGUUGGUGAGAGUGGAAAGCUCAUCAAGUGACGGUAACUACCCAGAAAGGGACGGCUAACUACGUG
This 497-nucleotide ribosomal RNA is filed under the name uncultured bacterium. RNAcentral's name for it is "partial 16S ribosomal RNA". It matches the Rfam family "Bacterial small subunit ribosomal RNA", at positions 28 to 507 of the family's 1533-position model. The record is from RNAcentral.